RNAcentral lists this ribosomal RNA (429 nucleotides) under bacterium. RNAcentral describes it as "partial 16S ribosomal RNA". It matches the Rfam family "Bacterial small subunit ribosomal RNA", at positions 355 to 776 of the family's 1533-position model. The record is from RNAcentral.
UAGGGAAUCUUCCACAAUGGACGCAAGUCUGAUGGAGCAACGCCGCGUGAGUGAAGAAGGUUUUCGGAUCGUAAAGCUCUGUUGUUGGUGAAGAAGGAUAGAGGCAGUAACUGGUCUUUAUUUGACGGUAAUCAACCAGAAAGUCACGGCUAACUACGUGCCAGCAGCCGCGGUAAUACGUAGGUGGCAAGCGUUGUCCGGAUUUAUUGGGCGUAAAGCGAGCGCAGGCGGAAUGAUAAGUCUGAUGUGAAAGCCCACGGCUAAACCGUGGAACUGCAUCGGAAACUGUCAUUCUUGAUUGCAGAAGAGGAGAGUGGAAUUCCAUGUGUAGCGGUGGAAUGCGUAGAUAUAUGGAAGAACAACAGUGGCGAAGGCGGCUCUCUGGUCUGCAACUGACGCUGAGGCUCGAAAGCAUGGGUAGCGAGCAGG